CCCAGGAUGAGUGACUACGGCCUGGAAGGGAGAGCAGGGAGAGUGGGUGUCCAGCGGUUCAGUGGUCUGGUCAGGGAGAGUGGGUGUCCAGGGGGUCAGUGGUCUGGUCAGGGAGAGUGGGUGUCCAACGGGUCAGUGGUCUGGUCAGGGAGAGUGGGUGUCCAGGGGGUCAGUGGUCUGGUCAGGGAGAGUGGGUGUCCAGGGGGUCAGUGGUCUGGUCAGGGAGAGUGGGUGUCCAGGGGGUCAGUGGUCUGGUCAGGAAGAGUGGGUGUCCAGGGGGUCAGUGGUCUGGUCAGGGAGAGUGGGUGUCCAGCGGGUCAGGGGUCUGGUCAGGGAGAGUGGGUGUCCAGGGGGUGUCAGUGGUCUGGUCAGGGAGAGUGGGUGUCCAGGGGGUCAGUAGUCUGGUCAGGGAGAGUGGGUGUCCAGCGGGUCAGGGGUCUGGUCAGGGAGAGUGGGUGUCCAGCAGGUCAGGGGUCUGGUCAGGGAGAGUGGGUGUCCAGCAGGUCAGGGGUCUGGUCAGGGAGAGUGGGUGUCCAGCGGGUCAGUGGUCUGGUCAGGGAGAGUGGGUGUCCAGGGGGUCAGUGGUCUAGUCAGGGAGAGUGGGUGUCCAGCGGGUCAGUGGUCUGGUCAGGGAGAGUGGGUGUCCAGCGGGUCAGGGGUCUGGUCAGGGAGAGUGGGUGUCCAGCGGGUCAGGGGUCUGGUCAGGGAGAGUGGGUGUCCAGCGGGUCAGGGGUCUGGUCAGGGAGAGAGAGUGAGAGAGACGGACAGACAAAGCUCAACCUGGG
Oncorhynchus tshawytscha (Chinook salmon) is the source of this 785-nucleotide long non-coding RNA. The record is from Ensembl. NCBI's taxonomy places the organism in Eukaryota, Metazoa, Chordata, Actinopteri, Salmoniformes, Salmonidae.